Molecule: long non-coding RNA, 1073 nt
Filed under: Marmota monax (woodchuck)
Lineage: Eukaryota; Metazoa; Chordata; Mammalia; Rodentia; Sciuridae
Source: RNAcentral
UUUAUUCUUGUCUUAUUGUUUUGGCUAAAAUGUAAUAUCAGAAUAAAAACUCUUAUAAAUGAGGGAGGUGGUAAUUUCCUUGAUCUGAUAAAGGGUACUGACUGACCAAAAAUUAUAGCACAUAUCAUAUGUAAUGGUAAACUUAACAGUAAAAAUUUUAAGUGCGUUUCCCUUAAAAUCAGGAAAAAAGACAUCUCUUAACUCCAUCUCCUACUACUCAAUAUCAUGUAUCAAGUAGCUUUUUUGGAAGAUAUGUUUGUUCACAUUAAGGAAAUUCUUUUUGAUUUCUAGCUAGCUAAUAGCCUUUUGUGUAUAGUGCUAAAUGCUAUUCAAAUUCUAUAUGUGUUGAGUUAGUCAUAUGCAUUUUUUAUCUUCAAGCUGUUAAUAUAGGUAGUUUUUUUUAAAGAAGGGUUUGAUGCUAAACCAUCCUUGCAUCUCUGGAAUAAAUUCUUUUUUUUGAAAAUGACAUAUUUUAAUAUACUGCUGGAUUCAACUUACUAAAUUUUGUUUGGUUUCUUCUCUUUAUUCAUUCAUGAAAUAAGUCUGCUUUACUUUUUGGCUUGUCAUUUUGUAUUUGCAUCAUCAAGGCUACAUUAGUCUCAUAUAAUACAACAAAUAGGAAGGUCUUGCUCUAAUUUUAUGUUUCUUUAAACGCAUUGUAUAAAAUUUUCUUUCCCUGAAGAUUAAGUAAAACUGGGUUACAUGAUGUCAGUCCUUUGAAAACAAUAGCUAGAAUAGAGUCAAUGGUAAAUGUUCCAUGAAAAGAAGAGAAAAUGUAGAUAGAAAUGAAGUACAUGUAUGAAGAUUUGAAUUAGGUGUCAACAUAUCUUAUAUACAAACAGAGAUAUGAAAAAUUGUGGUAUAUAUGGUAUUAAGAAUUGUAAUGCAAAAAAAUACAUGUAUAAUGGCAUAAAUUGGCGUGAACAUACGUAUAUAUACAGAGAUACGAAAAAUUGUGCUCUAUAUGUGUAAUAAGGAUUGUAAUGCAUUCCACUGUUGUUGUGUAUUUAGAAAAAUAAAAUCAACAAAAAUAAAUAAAUAAAUAAAAAUACCAAAUACAUAUGUUAAAAAAU